GAUGAAGAACGUAGCGAAAUGCGAUAAGUAAUGCGAAUUGCAGAAUUCCAGUGAGUCAUCGAAUCUUUGAACGCACAUUGCGCCCGCCAGUAUUCUGGCGGGCAUGCCUGUCCGAGCGUCAUUUCAACCCUCGAACCCCUCCGGGGGGUCGGCGUUGGGGACCUCGGGAGCCCCUAAGACGGGAUCCCGGCCCCGAAAUACAGUGGCGGUCUCGCCGCAGCCUCUCCUGCGCAGUAGUUUGCACAACUCGCACCGGGAGCGCGGCGCGUCCACGUCCGUAAAACACCCAACUUCUGAAAUGUUGACCUCGGAUCAGGUAGGAAUACCCGCUGAACUUAAGCAUAUCAAUAAGCGGAGGA
Molecule: unclassified non-coding RNA, 359 nt
Filed under: soil metagenome
Description: partial contains 5.8S ribosomal RNA, internal transcribed spacer 2, and large subunit ribosomal RNA
Rfam family: 5.8S ribosomal RNA (bases 1-121)
Source: RNAcentral